Molecule: long non-coding RNA, 1626 nt
Organism: Myotis daubentonii (Daubenton's bat)
Lineage: Eukaryota; Metazoa; Chordata; Mammalia; Chiroptera; Vespertilionidae
Exons: 2
Source: RefSeq, a predicted model, not a curated record
CAUCUUGAGAGUGGCAAAGCGAGGUCCGGGUCUGGAUCUGGCAGCGGGAGGCCCGGACGCAGGGCCAGCCUUCUCUCGUUGCUAUGGGAGACCAGCUUAUGAGCGUGGCUACUCCCGCAUCCAGGAAGAGGUCAGCCCCGGUGUGUGUCCCAGAGGAGCCAGUGAACGGCGCUGGGCGGCAAGAGCUCUGCAGGUGUUGGGCUGCAACGGGAGUGCGUGGAAUCCGCCGCGGCCCUGAAUCACGCUGGGGGCUCGCUGCACAGGCUCGGCUCAAAUCAAGGGAUAUUCAAGUCCUGGUUCCAGCGCUGGCUGUGCAGCUUUGGGCAGCUAACCUCACUCAUCAAGGCCCACUUUCCUCUUCUUCAAGAUGGGAAAGGAACCGUUGGUAAAGUUUGUAGAGCCUCUCCAGGAGUUAGCACUAAACAGAUGUCUCCUGAACUCUAACUGGAGGUACUUUUUACUUCUACUCCCGGCUCCUCAGGAGCCCUCUGAAGUCCCUUCUCCCCUUGCCACUCUCCCGUCCCUGGGCCCCAAGGCAGCAGCGGCUCCCCGCUAGCCCGCCAGGUCCAGGCUGACCGCCCCUUGGGCUUCAUCCCGGAGUCAGGACGUGGUGGGGCAGGUCCCUGGCCAGCCUGAAAGUUUCCUUCACAUCAGCGUCUUUGUGAACAGAGCGUUGGAGGCUUUGAAGUGCCUGUGCUGCUGAGGAGGGGAGGGAGGGCGAAGAAGGCAGCAGCAGACCUCCCAGAAUGAGGCAGGUGCAGACGGAGUCCGGGGUGCGGGGACAGGAGAGGUCCAGGCCACCUGCGGCCCGAGCACAUCUGUCUGGAGCUGGGCUGUCCUGCAGACCGUCCUGUAGACAGCUGACCUGUCCGCCCAGCUUGUGCCCCAGCUGAUGUUCACCAGGAGUCACCCUGGAGGCCUGGGGGGUGGGCAGCGCUCUUAGCCCCACCCCCUCCCCCUGAGGAUCAUGCCUGUCCCCAGCCUCCUCCAGCAGCCGAGUUCGAGCCCCAGCCUACUGACUGUGAUCUUGGGCAAGGCACUGAGCCUGCACCUGUUUUUCCAUCCUUGAAGAGACUAUACGAUGGGACGCCUUAGGAUAUUUGGGAGUAUUAAUGAACUAAUGCACAGAGCACAGUGCCAGGGUUUGAGUAAUGAUGUGUCUGAUCGAAACUGUCUCAGGACCCCUGGCCUGGGAGCGGUAGUGAGUCCUUCCCUUCAGAGGGGGAGGUCUCUGCCCGCUUGGUCAGCUGGUUGCAGGAGGUGAUUGCCGGCAUCCUGUCUUUCAGUGCAAUGAUACUUUGUACCCGUAGGAAUGGGGUGGGGGUGCAAUUUGAGGGAGAACGGGCUGACCACCCCCAACCCCUGUGCUCUGUGGUCUCGCUUGGUGUAUGUAUGUCCUCCCUCCUAGAGGCCAUGACAGAAUGGAAAUCUUAAGGUGAGUUGGCUAGCUGGCUGCUCUUGCUUCUCUGCCCAGAAAGGCCUGGACCUUUCUGCCCCCUUGCCUCAACUACCCACGUUCAUGACAGGUACCCUCCAAAGUAAGCCUGCAGAGUCUUGGCCGUGGUGGGCCUUCUCCUCCUGUCUAUUUUUUUUUAACAUUGAUUAAUAAAUACUAAUUAUAAAUGA